RNAcentral lists this ribosomal RNA (165 nucleotides) under uncultured bacterium. RNAcentral describes it as "partial 16S rRNA". It matches the Rfam family "Bacterial small subunit ribosomal RNA", at positions 355 to 510 of the family's 1533-position model. The record is from RNAcentral.
UAGGGAAUCUUCCACAAUGGACGCAAGUCUGAUGGAGCAACGCCGCGUGAGUGAAGAAGGUCUUCGGAUCGUAAAAACUCUGUUGUUAGAGAAGAACACGAGUGAGAGUAACUGUUCAUUCGUAUGACGGUAUCUAACCAGCAAGUCACGGCUAACUACGUGCCA